RNAcentral lists this ribosomal RNA (509 nucleotides) under uncultured bacterium. Its description in RNAcentral is "partial 16S ribosomal RNA". The record is from RNAcentral.
GGAGUUAGCCGGUGCUUCUUCUGUGAGUGAUGUCCUUCCUGCCGGCUAUUAACCCGCAGGCCUUCUUCCUCACUGAAAGUGCUUUACAACCCGAAGGCCUUCUUCACACACGCGGCAUGGCUGGAUCAGGGUUGCCCCCAUUGUCCAAUAUUCCCCACUGCUGCCUCCCGUAGGAGUCUGGGCCGUGUCUCAGUCCCAGUGUGGCUGAUCAUCCUCUCAGACCAGCUACGGAUCGUCGCCUUGGUGAGCCGUUACCUCACCAACCAGCUAAUCCGACAUAGGCUCAUCCGAUAGCGCGAGGCCCGAAGGUCCCCCGCUUUCCCCCGUAGGGCGUAUGCGGUAUUAGCCUGGGUUUCCCCCAGGUUAUCCCCCACUACCCGGGCAGAUUCCUAUGCAUUACUCACCCGUCCGCCGCUCGCCACCAGGGAGCAAGCUCCCCGUGCUGCCGCUCGACUUGCAUGUGUUAGGCCUGCCGCCAGCGUUCAAUCUGAGCCAGGAUCAAACUCUGA